UACGUAGGGGGCAAGCGUUGUCCGGAAUCAUUGGGCGUAAAGCGCGUGUAGGCGGCUCGGUAAGUCUGCUCUGAAAGUCCAAGGCUCAACCUUGGGAUGCGGGUGGAUACUGCCGGGCUCGAGUCCGGAAGAGGAGUGUGGAAUUCCUGGUGUAGCGGUGAAAUGCGCAGAUAUCAGGAGGAACACCAAUGGCGAAGGCAGCACUCUGGGACGUGACUGACGCUGAGACGCGAAAGCGUGGGGAGCAAACAGG
Molecule: ribosomal RNA, 253 nt
Filed under: uncultured bacterium
Lineage: Bacteria
Description: partial 16S ribosomal RNA
Rfam family: Bacterial small subunit ribosomal RNA
Source: RNAcentral